AGAGUUUGAUCAUGGCUCAGAGCGAACGCUGGCGGCAGGCCUAACACAUGCAAGUCGAACGGACCUUUCGGGGUUAGUGGCGGACGGGUGAGUAACACGUGGGAACGUGCCUUUUGGUUCGGAAUAGCUCCUGGAAACGGGUGGUAAUGCCGAAUGUGCCCUUUGGGGGAAAGAUUUAUCGCCAUUAGAGCGGCCCGCGUCUGAUUAGCUAGUUGGUGAGGUAAAGGCUCACCAAGGCUACGAUCAGUAGCUGGUCUGAGAGGAUGACCAGCCACAUUGGGACUGAGACACGGCCCAAACUCCUACGGGAGGCAGCAGUGGGGAAUCUUGCGCAAUGGGCGAAAGCCUGACGCAGCCAUGCCGCGUGUAUGAUGAAGGUCUUAGGAUUGUAAAAUACUUUCACCGGUGAAGAUAAUGACUGUAGCCGGAGAAGAAGCCCCGGCUAACUUCGUGCCAGCAGCCGCGGUAAUACGAAGGGGGCUAGCGUUGCUCGGAAUUACUGGGCGAAAGGGAGCGUAGGCGGACAUUUAAGUCAGGGGUGAAAUCCCAGAGCUCAACUCUGGAACUGCCUUUGAUACUGGGUGUCUUGAGUGUGAGAGAGGUAUGUGGAACUCCGAGUGUAGAGGUGAAAUUCGUAGAUAUUCGGAAGAACACCAGUGGCGAAGGCGACAUACUGGCUCAUUACUGACGCUGAGGCUCGAAAGCGCGGGGAGCAAACAGGAUUAGAUACCCUAGUAGUCC
Molecule: ribosomal RNA, 741 nt
Filed under: uncultured bacterium
Lineage: Bacteria
Description: bacterial SSU rRNA
Rfam family: Bacterial small subunit ribosomal RNA
Source: RNAcentral